GCCCCCGUAGCUCAGCUGGAUAGAGCAGCGGCCUUCUAAGCCGUUGGUCGCACGUUCGAAUCGUGCCGGGGGUG
This 74-nucleotide transfer RNA is filed under the name Polyangiaceae bacterium. RNAcentral's name for it is "tRNA-Arg". It matches the Rfam family "tRNA". From Rfam's summary of the family: Transfer RNA (tRNA) molecules are approximately 80 nucleotides in length. Their secondary structure includes four short double-helical elements and three loops (D, anti-codon, and T loops). The record is from RNAcentral. Lineage: Bacteria; Pseudomonadati; Myxococcota; Polyangiales; Polyangiaceae.